UGGGGAAUAUUGCACAAUGGGGGAAACCCUGAUGCAGCGACGCCGCGUGGAGGAAGAAGGUCUUCGGAUUGUAAACUCCUGUUGUUGAGGAAGAUAAUGACGGUACUCAACAAGGAAGUGACGGCUAACUACGUGCCAGCAGCCGCGGUAAAACGUAGGUCACAAGCGUUGUCCGGAAUUACUGGGUGUAAAGGGAGCGCAGGCGGGAUAGCAAGUCAGAUGUGAAAACUAUGGGCUUAACCCAUAAACUGCAUUUGAAACUGUGGUUCUUGAGUGAAGUAGAGGUAAGCGGAAUUCCUAGUGUAGCGGUGAAAUGCGUAGAUAUUAGGAGGAACAUCAGUGGCGAAGGCGGCUUACUGGGCUUUAACUGACGCUGAGGCUCGAAAGCGUGGGGAGCAAACAGGAUUAGAUACCCUGGUAGUCCACGCCGUAAACGAUGAUUACUAGGUGUGGGGGGACUGACCCCUUCCGUGCCGCAGCAAACGCAAUAAGUAAUCCACCUGGGGAGUACGACCGCAAGGUUGAAACUCAAAGGAAUUGACGGGGGCCCGCACAAGCAGUGGAGUAUGUGGAUUAAUUCGAAGCAACGCGAAGAACCUUACCAGGUCUUGACAUCGUAUGCAUAGCUCAGAGAUGAGUGAAAUCUCUUCGGAGACAUAUAGACAGGUGGUGCAUGGUUGUCGUCAGCUCGUGUCGUGAGAUGUUGGGUUAAGUCCCGCAACGAGCGCAACCCUUACUGUUAGUUGCUACGCAAGAGCACUCUAGCAGGACUGCCGUUGACAAAACGGAGGAAGGUGGGGAUGACGUCAAAUCAUCAUGCCCCUUAUGACCUGGGCCUCACACGUACUACAAUGGCUGUUAACAGAGGGAUGCAAAGCCGCAAGGUGGAGCGAACCCCUAAAAGCAGUCUUAGUUCGGAUUGUAGGCUGCAACCCGCCUACAUGAAGUCGGAAUUGCUAGUAAUCGCAGAUCAGCAUGCUGCGGUGAAUACGUUCCC
RNAcentral lists this ribosomal RNA (997 nucleotides) under uncultured bacterium. RNAcentral describes it as "bacterial SSU rRNA". It matches the Rfam family "Bacterial small subunit ribosomal RNA", at positions 355 to 1375 of the family's 1533-position model. The record is from RNAcentral.